AAUUUUUAGUGCUCAGAUUCUUGUUCUUUCCUUCCCUCGUCAAACGCACGCACCGCCUCAAUUUUUCCUUCCCCUCCUUCGGCCCUUUUGAAAGUUCCAGAGCCGAGAGAGAUCGCUCCCUUCCCCUUCAUUAUUCCGGUGUCAUUCCUGUUGCCGUCGAUGGUGUGAGUGUGUGUUAGAACACCUUCCACCAUUGUUAAAGGUCCAGCUCCCGAAUUCUUCCUAUCCCCUGUUUCGCACUGCCAAUCACUCACUUUUCUGAGUGGCUGUACAGCUCGUCUGUCCAUCAACGGCUAUUCUUCCUUGCUGUCGUGAUGGGCUUCUGGUAGUGGUGAAGACGCUGGUUUUUCUGUCACCGUUCUCCGCUCUCUCCAGCUCUAAACGCGGGUCUAAAGGAGAAUCAGGUCACCCGGGAAUGAAGAGGAAGAAUUUUUGAAGAAGGUGAUUUUGUGCCACACACCACGGCUUGUGGAUGAGCUGCUAUGGUGCAUGUAUGACAACACACCUGGGAGAGGCUCUUUGUGCCAUGCACCAUAACGCAUUGUGCAUCCGCUACGGCACAUGGUUAGAUUUCUGCUGUAUUAAGUUGCAAAACUAAAGCAAAAGAGAAGAGAAAAACAAAGGGAACUGAGAGAGAGAGACGAAAGAGCUAAGCUAGGGCUUGAAGAAAUCGACUUGUAAGAGUAAUUUGGAGCUUAUAAACAUCAAAGAAUAACUACUAUUGACACCAUUCAAGCUUCUUGAAAGUUUUGGGAGUGAGUAAUUGAGAGGUGAAACUUUUAACCUCUCAAAGUUUUGAGGUAACCAGGAAAAUUCUAUCUUAUGCUUUUCUGUGUUUAUUAGUUUAUGAAUUUAUGAUUGAUCAUUGAAAUGUGUAAGUUAAAAUGAAAUGCAAGUGUAGCUUGAUUUGUUAGAAAAUUCACUAGAUUGAUUUUGUGAGUUUUAUGCCUUGUGAUGUGAAAUUCUUUGUGAACAAUAUCGGUGGAUUUUCAUAUUAUGUUUAUUGAGAGUUCAAUGACUUUGUGAUUUGACAAGUAAUAUGAAUUUUUCUUUAAGAGAAGUUCAAUGAUGUUUAAAAUAGUGGAGUUCAAUAAUUUUGAAAGUUUGAAGUACAAUGAUUGUGAAAUUGGAGUUCAAUGACUUAUUUGGUUUGAAAUUCCAUGAAAUUAUGUUUAAGAAGUCUAAUGAUUUGUCUAAUGAUGAAGUUUAAUGAAAUUGAUUAGGUGAAGUUCUAUGAAUUGUAUAAAGUUUGAAUUAUUGCAUGAAUAUGCAUUGUAUGAUCUUGAGAGGCGGGAGUUCGUCUAAGAAGAGGAGUAGAUGAUAAAAUCCAGGUGGUAAGGCCCAAUUCAUGUGAUUGUUUGCCGAAUAGAUUAUAUCUAUAUUAUCCCAUUUAUUCAACGAGGGACUGUCCCAUUAAUUCAAUGAGGGACCGGAACCUAGCUAGCUAUCCACUGGUUUAAUAAGGAAGCUAGUCUAGGGUAUAUGACACCCCAUAGUGUGAGAAAUGGAAGAAACCGUAUUCCACAAGUGAGUUGGGUAUGCCUUGGCUGGGUAAUCCUCUCACAAGUGUUUAGGUUAGGGAAGUCAUGGAAUAUAGACUAUCCUAUUAUGUUAUAACCCAUGGUUUCAUGUCAAAGGAAUAAGGAGGAUAUAAGGGAGGUGUGAUCAUGCAUGUAGUGAGUAAGGGCAAAUAGUUG
Long non-coding RNA from Prosopis cineraria, 1697 nucleotides. RefSeq lists it as uncharacterized. NCBI's taxonomy places the organism in Eukaryota, Viridiplantae, Streptophyta, Magnoliopsida, Fabales, Fabaceae. The record is from RefSeq and is a predicted model, not a curated record. The transcript has 3 exons.